GACGAACGCUGGCGGCGUGCCUAAUACAUGCAAGUCGAGCGGACGAAUCGAAAGCUUGCUUUUGAUUCGUUAGCGGCGGACGGGUGAGUAACACGUGGGCAACCUGCCCUGUAGACGGGGAUAACACCGAGAAAUCGGUGCUAAUACCGGAUAACACGAAAUGUCGCAUGACGUUUCGUUGAAAGACGGCGCAAGCUGUCGCUACAGGAUGGGCCCGCGGCGCAUUAGCUAGUUGGUGAGGUAACGGCUCACCAAGGCGACGAUGCGUAGCCGACCUGAGAGGGUGAUCGGCCACACUGGGACUGAGACACGGCCCAGACUCCUACGGGAGGCAGCAGUAGGGAAUCUUCCGCAAUGGACGAAAGUCUGACGGAGCAACGCCGCGUGAGCGAAGAAGGCCUUCGGGUCGUAAAGCUCUGUUGUUAGGGAAGAACAAGUAACGCAGUAACUGGCGUUACCGUGACGGUACCUAACGAGAAAGCCACGGCUAACUACGUGC
Molecule: ribosomal RNA, 499 nt
Filed under: uncultured bacterium
Lineage: Bacteria
Description: partial 16S ribosomal RNA
Rfam family: Bacterial small subunit ribosomal RNA
Source: RNAcentral